This is a long non-coding RNA of Protobothrops mucrosquamatus (brown spotted pit viper), 364 nucleotides long. RefSeq lists it as uncharacterized. NCBI's taxonomy places the organism in Eukaryota, Metazoa, Chordata, Lepidosauria, Squamata, Viperidae. The transcript is spliced from 3 exons. The record is from RefSeq and is a predicted model, not a curated record.
UGUAUUGCUUUCUGAAGAUGACACUGUAUACGAAGGAGAAUUUUCAGAUAAUUGGACCCUUAAUGGAAAGGGAACACUGACUUUGCCAAAUGGAGAUACUAUUGAAGGCACUUUCAGUGGUGAAUGGGGAUCUGGAAUAAAGAUUACAGGAAAUUACUUCAAACCCACUUUAUAUGAUCAUGAGAAGGAUCGGCCUAAAACACUGCGGAAGUUAGGAAGCCUUGCUGUUCCGGCGGAUGAGAAGUGGAGGGCUGUGUUCGAGGACUGCUGGCACCAGCUCGGCUGUGAACAGCCAGGCCAAGGGGAUAGGUGGAAAGCUUGGGAUAACAUUGCUGUUGCCCUGACAACCAAUCGAAGGCAACAC